Long non-coding RNA from Camellia sinensis, 1112 nucleotides. RefSeq lists it as uncharacterized. The record is from RefSeq and is a predicted model, not a curated record. Lineage: Eukaryota; Viridiplantae; Streptophyta; Magnoliopsida; Ericales; Theaceae.
UUUAUCUGCAGAGAGAAAGAGGAGGAAAAAAAAAACUAGUCGAGCCACUCGGGCCAAACGAAAUUCAAGCUACAAAACAGAACUGGAUUGCAAAUCUCAACCUAAUGAUUUUUUAUUUUCCACUUGUAUUCGCCACGUGCUUGGAUAAUGUUGUCAUGCCUCUGCAUUAUUCUCAGGAGUGGUGCUAGAUCACCGAGUGAAUCAAACUAUCUGUAUCACUCGAAUGACACGGAUCGAUUGUAACACUCACAUGAAAACAAUCAGUACCGCUAUAGGCCUCGAAAUUGCUCUGUCGCAAAUGGCUUGAAUGAGCUGGCGGUGCCUUCUUCACGCGUCGGCCACUUGCACCAAAACCUGUGUGGAUUUCACACGCCUACAAAACUAAAGAGAAGAUAAAUCAAUGGUACGGGAGAUAGAGAGAGAGACGACCACGACCUAGCGGACUUGGGUGGCCGCCGCCGCCGAUGACCUAGGUGGCCACUGACGAUGAAGAAAACCACCGCUGACCAUCGUCCACCACUCUCCAAUUCCUCCGGUUUCUCUGAAAAUUUCGGCCUCCACUUACCAAGAGCCAACUGAUUCGUGGGUCACUACUGAGCUUCUUGAAUAUGUUGGCAUUUUCAAAGAUCAUGAAGAAAUAUGAUAAGAUAACUUCAAGAAAUGCAUCAAAAGCUUACUUGAAGAUGGUAGACAACUCCUACCUUGUGUCACAUACCAACUCAUUAGGGAUGUAAGUUCUACACCAAGGACAUUGCAAGCGCAUUAGUUUGUGAGCAGCAAGGCAGGCAGGAUAGAUCCCUAUCGUAUCUCCUAGGUUGGUCCUUGGGCAUAAUUGACGAGAGUAUGCAGUACCACUAGUAGAGCCGGCUUCUCGGGAGGAUGACAAGCGCCCAGUCCGUGACACUUGGCAGCUCAUAUAAGGUGCUAAUGAUAUGCCUCUACGAAGGAAGUAUCUUGGGAGGACCUUGGAACCGAGAGCUUCUUUUUGUUCUUUUAUGUAAAUGUUAUUGUACAAGCCUUGGGCUUAAUAUAUAUUGAGUUUUACUCAUUUUUGUUGUACCCAAGCAUCGACUUGGAAAAAUGUAGCCAUUAUGGUAUUAACUUGUUUGUAC